CUGGCGUGACGCGAAACGCAGGGAUGCAAGGUCGAUCUUGGGAUGCGGAAUGUUUGGAUUCUGAAAGUCUGAACACACAACAGCUGAACCCCAGCUGGCUGUGCUGUAAGCCAGAGCUUCCAGUGGCUGGUGGCCAGUGUUGACUGGGAAAGCUUUCAGCCUCAGAGGGACUGUGAUUAACCCAGGAGCGGUCAAACUCGGCAGGAAGCCUCCAACAACCAGCUACUGCUAUUUAUCCACUUACCAAUGAAACAAAUUACUUUUAAAGCGAUCCUCAGUGCGGACACUAUAUCUGCUGUUCUUGCAGACCAAUAGAGUAUGGUUGUGAAAGGAGAGGCAGAAGUUAAGAAGGAAACCCUCCUGAGCUGCUCCAACAGGCUGUAAAAUAUGUUUCAAGUCAGUAACCAUGGAGACCCACUGAUGUGUGAGAGCAGCCUGAGGGGCACACAAAACCUUUUAUAAAGCACAGUAUAUCAUUGUUACAAACAUUAAGAACCUUAUAUCAUAUCAGUUUUAGAAUUUUUAAGCCAACAAUGACUUUUCCUAUAUAUUUAGCCCCAAAAACCCACAUUUAACACAGUUUUUAAUUCUUUACACUUUGCUCUUUCUUAGAUGCAGAAUAUGAAAUUCAGCUCUGCCGUCACUGAAUCCGGAUUUAUUAUUUAGUUUAAGCAUUUAAGACUGUCUAUCAAAUAUUUUAACAUGUUAGUAAAAAUCCUGUGAUAGAUUUUCAAGUAUGUUUUUAUUAAAACUUUGACACAGUUUUUUUUUCAACUUUCCUAAAAGCAUUGGUUCCUAAUAAUUACAACAAACUGAGUGUUGAUAUGUAAAGCAACAGAGUUAUUUGGACUUUUUCGUCCUUGAUAUGAUUCAUGCCUAAAAAGUGUUAGAUACAGCAUUUCCUGGACCACUGCCUGGUAAAUACGUUUCUAUAUGAAUUUGUAGACAGAGCUAACCCUAACGAGGUUACAGAACAAACACAUCCUGAAUUGUUCUCUUGUGUUUAGCUCUUACAAAAAGACAUGAACAAGUUGGAUAAAGAUUUUAACAAGUCAAUAUGCUGUAUCAUUAUGUAUGAAAUGUUUAAUGUGGAUGGCAUUGUUAUAUCGUUAUAAUGCAAUUAAAUGUGUGCCUUUU
Molecule: long non-coding RNA, 1137 nt
Organism: Pleuronectes platessa (European plaice)
Lineage: Eukaryota; Metazoa; Chordata; Actinopteri; Pleuronectiformes; Pleuronectidae
Exons: 2
Source: RefSeq, a predicted model, not a curated record